UACGGAAGGUGCGAGCGUUAAUCGGAAUUACUGGGCGUAAAGCGCACGUAGGUGGUUUUAUAAGUCAGAUGUGAAAGCCCCGGGCUUAACCUGGGAAUUGCAUCUGAUACUGUCUGACUCGAGUAUGCUAGAGGGAAGUGGAAUUCCAGGUGUAGCGGUGAAAUGCGUAGAUAUCUGGAGGAACACCAAUGGCGAAGGCAACUUCCUGGGGCAAUACUGACACUGAUGUGCGAAAGCGUGGGGAGCAAACAGG
This 253-nucleotide unclassified non-coding RNA is filed under the name uncultured Gammaproteobacteria bacterium. RNAcentral's name for it is "contains 16S-23S intergenic spacer region". It matches the Rfam family "Bacterial small subunit ribosomal RNA", at positions 524 to 776 of the family's 1533-position model. The record is from RNAcentral. Lineage: Bacteria; Pseudomonadati; Pseudomonadota; Gammaproteobacteria.